Molecule: ribosomal RNA, 465 nt
Filed under: uncultured bacterium
Lineage: Bacteria
Description: bacterial SSU rRNA
Rfam family: Bacterial small subunit ribosomal RNA
Source: RNAcentral
CCUACGGGUGGCACCAGUAGGGAAUCUUCGGCAAUGGACGAAAGUCUGACCGAGCAACGCCGCGUGAGUGAAGAAGGUUUUCGGAUCGUAAAACUCUGUUGUUAGAGAAGAACAAGUAGGAGAGUAACUGCUCUUACCUUGACGGUAUCUAACCAGAAAGCCACGGCUAACUACGUGCCAGCAGCCGCGGUAAUACGUAGGUGGUAAGCGUUGUCCGGAUUUAUUGGGCGUAAAGCGAGCGCAGGCGGUCUUUUAAGUCUGAUGUGAAAGCCCUCGGCUCAACCGAGGAAGGUCAUUGGAAACUGGAGGACUUGAGUGCAGAAGAGGAGAGUGGAAUUCCAUGUGUAGCGGUGAAAUGCGUAGAUAUAUGGAGGAACACCAGUGGCGAAGGCGACUCUCUGGUCUGUAACUGACGCUCAGGUGCGAAAGCGUGGGGAGCAAACAGGAUUAGAUACCCCGGUAGUC